AAAGGGUGUGUGGAUAAAACUUCCCAUUGAACUUGCAAACCUUGUUGAAACUGUGGUCAUGGUAUGCCACAGCAGGGAAACACAAAUAAAGGAAAUUAGAUUGACAUCGAUUAGUUCUGCAUAUCUUUUGAGUCUGAAGUCGACAAGAUAUCAACUUUCCAGUCUACUUUGUGGAUUUGUAGCUUUCAUUCUGUAAUCAUCUUAUGUUGAUUAUAGGAAGGCUUUUGGUAUCAUCUUGCAGAGCCAAGUUAUCUAAUGCUGGUUUACUGGAUUCCUGAAACUAUUAAUACACUCCCUGCAAAUGCUACACAUCGUGUUGGAGUUGGUCCUAUUGUCUUAACAGAGAAAAGAGAGAUGCUUGUAGUACGGGAAAAGAGUGGUAGACUUCGAGGAACAGGUGUCUGGAAUAUCCCUAUUGGAAUCGUGGAUGAGAGAGGAUAUAUGUGCAGCAGCCAUCGGAGAAGUUAAGGAAGAGACAGGAGUUGAUGCAGAAUUUGUCGAGGUAGUAGCUUUCAGGUAUGCCCAAUAUAUUAGGCUUAAUUGGAUAGGAGCUCCAUUGAUAUUUGGCUGCUUUUGACUUUCUACUUGCUUAUCCUUGUUACUUUGGGGAUUGUGCACUAUCAAUGUCAUCCACAAGGCUGAGCCGUCUUAUGCAGGUCAUCCAUAUCCACAGGAGUUCUGAAUGCUGGCACUUCUAUCCAUCGGGAAGCCUUGUCUAGCCUUUCUUCUCGACUGCAAACAUUGCAGGUAACACUGUAUGUUAACAGCGUACAUUUUUAGGGGGCGGAUGAAUGAGUACAUGAUAAACUUACCAUAACAUAUUGUUCCUUGAUAUGGUUUAUAUUAAUCGAGGUAGUAGCUUUCUGGUUCUGGGCUAGCUAACCAUUUUCUUAUUCUUUACUUAGAUUUUGUUUUUGAUAAAAUGUUUGAAAAAGAUCAAAACCAGGAAAUCCAUUCUCUGCGGCAAAAUUUAGUAAACUAUACUGCAUGGAUUUACAGAAGUGUACCAUAAAUGAAAGGGAUAUGUUAUUAAACCUUAUUGAUUAUACCAAGUAAAAGCGUUUCCUCCAAACUUGUGUCUUAUCCAAGCACUACUAAUGUUGUCACACACCACUGCAACGUCUAACUACUACGAGCCAUCAUCAAAUGCUGAAUUCACCCAUUAACUAGGUUAGUUAUGAAACCUCAUGACUUGGAACUUCUUAAUUAUUUAUGUGCAAUAUACAACAUAGCUCCUUUUUUGUAAAAUAAUUUGGGGCAUGAAAAAGUUCAGGAGAUGAUUGUCAUGCAAGAUAUUCCUGUUUUUAGAUUUAACUACUGUAUUUGUUGUAUCAGGGGUUAAGGACCAAAGAGAUUGACUAUUGUUUGGUACUCUCUAAUUUAAAUUAAAUUUUCAUUUUCAGCAUGCCAUGUACCUUUAGUUUUGUUUGUUCCAUUUUCAGCUCUUGUUUGUAGGUGUUUAUGA
Long non-coding RNA from Spinacia oleracea (spinach), 1465 nucleotides. RefSeq lists it as uncharacterized. The record is from RefSeq and is a predicted model, not a curated record. NCBI's taxonomy places the organism in Eukaryota, Viridiplantae, Streptophyta, Magnoliopsida, Caryophyllales, Amaranthaceae. The transcript has 4 exons.